Molecule: long non-coding RNA, 1389 nt
Filed under: Equus asinus (donkey)
Lineage: Eukaryota; Metazoa; Chordata; Mammalia; Perissodactyla; Equidae
Description: lncRNA (ENSEASG00005025126.1)
Source: RNAcentral
GGAACCCUUGCUUUUUUUGUGGGAAUCUGGUGUUUUGGUCCGUGCCAGGCAGAGGAUGCCUGCAUGACCAGCCCCAGGGAAACCCUUGGGCAUGGAGUCUCCCACGGGCUGCCUGGGGCGGGGACACUGCUGCAGGAGGAGAGUGCUCUGUGUCACCUUCCUGGGAGAGGGAGCAUCAGGAAGCCUGGGUACGGAUUCUUCUAGACUCCAUGUCUCAGUCAGCUCAGGCUGCUGUAAGGAAAUACCACAGACGCGGGGCUUUCAACAACAGACAUUUACUUCUCAGAGUUCUGGAGGCUGGAAGCACGAGAUAAAGGUGCCGGCAGGUUCGGUUCCUGGUGAGGGCCUGUUUCGCGCCCUGCAGACGGCUGCGUCCCACUGUGGGUUUUCCCCUUAUGAUGCAGUGGUGUGUCUGACUCCACGGCUGAAAUCGCUCUUUGCCACGGAUACAGCUAGAUGUUGAAAACCGUUCUGGCCUGUCUGCUCAGAGGACGUGUUUGUCAGGAGUUUCCAGACUGGCCCUGGAGGGGAACUCAGAAUUUGUCCGCAGGACGAUGCUGCCUCCCCCUGUGGAAGUCGUGGAUGGACGAGCAAACGGAUAAGAGCGGGAGCAGAAUCCGCUGAGGCAGGGCAGGGCUUUUCAAAAUUUACUGUACACACGAAUCGCCCGGAGGAGCUUGUGAAAAUGUGGAUUCCGAUUCAGCGGGUCUGGGGGCGGGGGCUGAGAUUCUAUGUGUCUAACAGACCCUCAGACCACACUGAUGCUGCUGGUCCAUGACCACACUUGGAAAGACAAGAAGCAGGGGGCAGUGGUGAAGUUCAGCGACUCCAGAAUCAAAUGCCGAGUGAAAAUCCCAGCUCAGACAUUCUUGUGUGAUUUCCAGCAAGUCAGUUAACCCCCAGCGCCUCGGUUUCCUCAAGUGUAAGCUUGGAUGAUGCCUGAACCUGCCUCACAGAACUGUGGAGAUGAUUAAGUGAAUCAACGCCGGGAGGGGCUCAGAACAGCGCCUGGCACAGAGCAAGCGCAACUUGUGUGCUUGGCAUUUUCAAAUAACAACAAACCAUAUUUGCUCAAGGAACAGACUUUGGUUGGAAAGUUCUUUUAAUCGGUUCCUGGGUGGCCAACAAGCAGUCCGCUCUGCUUAGAACUAGGAGACCCCAGCUCCAGCCUCGGCCCUGCCCUUACUGGCUGUGUCACUUGGGGAAAGUUACUGGAUCUUUCUGAGCCCCCAAUUCACAUGUGUGUGAAAUCAGCUGUGGUCCUUCUUCACGAGAUUCCCGUGAGCAUUCAGUGAAAUCCUGGCUCAAGUGGCUGAACCUGAGUCUCUUCUUUACAGCCAAUUAAUCUAAGAUCCACACAGGCCAAUCGAACAUCAGGGCAGCGAUCGU